Molecule: non-coding RNA, 4378 nt
Organism: Podarcis lilfordi (Lilford's wall lizard)
Lineage: Eukaryota; Metazoa; Chordata; Lepidosauria; Squamata; Lacertidae
Source: the annotation of a GenBank genome assembly
CAUGUGGUUAAGGUAGAUCAAGGUGUCAGUGUCCACUUAUCCCCAGUGUAAAUAUGACAUAUCGGGAAAAGUCGGAAAUUGAAAGAUAACUAUAGCAUGUACAUGAAAAUCAAUUUCAGAUUUGAAAUCAGCAUUGAAAGAACAUAUAAGAACAGUUGAAAAAAUCUCAUGCAGCAGAAAAUGAAAAAGAAAAAUUGUUCCCCAGUGAUCCACUGAAAAAUGGAGCCCUUGCCUCUGGAACUUUCUUUGGCAACGGUUCUAAUACUGUUCUUUUUCCACUCAGCAAUCUAUCACUGGUCAGUAGCAGAUGCGAGACAUUCUGAACUUUGCCUGGUGGAGCUAUUCUGAGCAACUCGCCGAUCGCACCUGCAGGAGGGAGAUCACAUUCACAAGGGAAAUAGCCAUGGAAGAAAUCCUGCUAAAGACCAGAUCACUGGAUUCCUUCCCGGUUACCCUUUAGAGGGAUGCAAAUGAUUUGUGGCAGUGUUUUGUUGCUGUGGUGGUUCUAAAAGGAUAUCUAUGGGGCUAGGAGAUCAUCGUAUUCUGAAGUGAAGGAGCUGACAAAUGAUCGUCCACAGCCCAGGUAUGCAACAAAAUCACAUGCCUGUUUACUGAGAGGCAAGCCCCAGACAGGAGGGCCAACUUGGCCCCGCAACCGUGCAGGUGCCCAGGGUGCACUGAAUUUUGUGGCUGCGUGAGCACCCAGGACCCCAGGAAACCGGCACCCUGUGUCCCAAGAAGUGGUAUGGGCAGUCACAUCCACAACAUACACUUAAAGCACAUGGCAUUUUUUCUUUUUAAAGUUUUUAUUUAUACUUUUCAAAUUUAUACAUUUCAUUAAUUUCACAAUCAUUUUAACAUUUCAAAGUUUGACUUCCUUCCCCCUCUUUCUGUGGUGCCUUAAAUUUAUUUUUUAACACCUUAAGUAAAGGUAAAGGGACCCCUGACCAUUAGGUCCAGUCAUGACCGACUCUGGGGUUACGGCGCUCAUCUCGCUUUAUUGGCCGAGGGAGCCGGCGUACAGCUUCCGGGUCAUGUGGCCAGCAUGACUAAGCCGCUUCUGGCAAACCAGAGCAGCGCACGGAAACACCAUUUCCCUUCCCGCCGGAGCGGUACCUAUUUAUCUACUUGCACUUUUGAUGUGCUUUCGAACUGCUAGGUUGGUAGGAGCAGGGACUGAGCAACGGGAGCUCACCCUGUCGCGAGGAUUCGAACCGCCGACCUUCCGAUCGGCAAUGCCUAGGCUCUGUGGUUUAACCCACAGCGCCACCCACGUCCCUUAAUACCUUAUGCAUAUCCAAAUUCAUUUAAUUAUUUACUCUUUUGAAACUGCAGGUUAUUACAAUAAUCCUGCCAAUGUUUUUAUCUGUUUGCAAUUUACCUGCAAAUAUUCAACAAACCAUUUCCAUUCUUGAUUUCUUAUUCUUCCUGUAAGUUUCACCAUUUCUGCAUAUUAUAAGUUUUUGUAUCCAUUCUUCCUUUGCUGGGACAUCUGCUUCUUUCCAUUUUGGGGCUCAUGUGGCGUUUUUCAAAGAAUCACGGGAACUGUAGUUUUUUAAGGGUACUGGGAAUUGUAUCUCUGUGGUGGGCAAACUACAGCUGCCUUCACAUACCCUCCAACAUGUCUCCAGUGAAAAUAGGGAAGUCCUCUUGAAUAAUAAUAAUAAUAAUAAUAAUUUUAUUAUUUAUACCUCACUCGUCUCACUGGUUUGCCCCAGCGACUCUGGGCAGCUUCCAACAUAUAUAGAAACAUAAUAAUAUGGAUAGAAACACAAUAAAUAAAUUAAAGCUCAAUUAAAAUGAGAAUAAGAUCUAAAUAAAUUAAAGCUCAAGAAGGACAAGCAGGAGGAGGCUGGAAUCUUUUCCAUCCACAGUUAACACUGGGACAGAAGACUGAGCAGGCACAAAAGUCAUGUGGCCACAGUCCUCUCCACUAAGUUGAGAUGUAUGGCAUUUCUAUUUAAAUUACAUUUUUUUCUAAAUGUUAAACAUAGAUUAGCGCAUGCAGAUUUCAUGCAAAUCAGUGUCCUAUUUUGCCCUCUCAUGAUGCAACUCCUCUUGUUUGGCGAAGCACAAGUGCCCUUUUCUUAAUACUGCGGCUGGCGUAGCUUAACAGCACCGGAUUUCCAUUACAGUGGUACCUCGGGUUACAUACGCUUCAGGUUACAGACUCCGCUAACCCAGAAAUAGUGCUUCAGGUUAAGAACUUUGCUUCAGGACAAGGACAGAAAUCGGGCUCUGGUGGCGUGGCAGCAGUGGGAGGCCCCAUUAGCUUCAGGUUAAGAACAGUUUCAGGUUAAGUACGGACCUCAGGAACGAAUUAAGUACUUAACCCGAGGUACCACUGUACUUAGAAUUAAAAAAUGCUUCACGGACCCAAAAGCAGUCCUAGCUGGGCUCGAUGUUUUCACCUGCAGUGCUGUUCUGGUGGAGGCAGCAAGACGAUAAAGCCAUGCCUUGCAGUAACUCUGGAAUAAAUCUUCCUAACCUGACAGCCCAUAAUACUAAUAAAUACAGGGAGAGUUUAUUUCUCCCUCUGUCCAGGGAGAAAAUGACUGCAUGGGAGUCCGCUCUGGCUACUCAAGAGCUUUAUAGAUGAUUACCAAGUCAAUCCCUUCGGUGUCGUGUGCCAAGUGCACCAUCUUAAUAAUUAGAAAAAAGGCCCACAGUCAUUAAAAAAAAAAAUCAGUGGUAAUAACCAUUAUUCCACCCCUCUUGCUGUUUAUGUAGACUGCCUGCCUUCCUUUCUUGCUGUUUCUUUAAUUUACAUCCCCUCCAACACUCCUCCGAUGAAAAUAGGGACAUCCGAUUCCACACCCUCCAACAUUUCUCUGAUGAAAAUAGAGACUCCCCCUCCAACAUUUCUCUGAUGGAAAUACAGUCGUACCUAGGUUUUCGAACAGCUUAAUUCUCGAACGCUUUGGCUCCCGAAAGCCACAAAUCCAGAAGUGACUGUUCCGGUUUGUGAACUAUUUUUGAAGCCGAACGUCCGACACGGGUUCCGCGGCUUCCAAUUGGCUGCAGGAACUUCCAGCGGCCAAUCGGAAGCCAAGCUUUGGUUUUGGAAGUUCGGAAGCCAUCAGAAUGGCAGUUGGCUGUAUCUUCCUGGGCAGCAAUAGUUAAUCAAGCUCUGGUCUGGCCUAUCCCUAUCUACCCAGGCUGGUCCUCAGCAUCUGUAGGGGGAGGACAGCCUUCCAGACUCACCAUCAAGCUGAGAGUGUUGUUGCCUUUGUGCAGUGGGCUCAUUUCUUCACAUGCCCAUUGACAAACAGCUCCAGGCUGGCAAAAACUCUUGAGGAGAGUGUGGAGUAAGGCAAGUGAGGGGGGUGGCCUAGACCAGACAGAGAGGGCCACAUUGUCUCCUGAGCCUGAUGGCACUGUGGUCUAAACCACCGAGCCUCUUGGGCUUGCCGAUCAGAAGACCAGUGGUUCGAAUCCCCGCAAUGGGGUGAGCUCCCGUUGCUCUGUCCCAGCUCCUGCCAACCUAGCAGUUUGAAAGCACGCCAGUGCAAGUAGAUAAAUAGGUACUACUGUGGCAGGAAGGUAAACGGAUUUUACGUGCACUCUGGUUUCCAUCAUGGUGUCCCGUUGCGCUAGAAGCGGAUUACUCAUGACCUGGAAAGCUGUCUGUGGACAAACGCCGGCUCCCUCGGCCUGAAAGCGAGAUGAGUGCCACCACUGGUGGACGAAGGUGGGGGCAGGGGGUGGUCCACCCCAGGUUCCAUCCUGGGGGGGUGAUAUCGCAGCUGCCCCUGCCCCCCAGAAUGCUCGCUGUUCACCGUGCAUGCCCCGGGAUGCGUGCCGCUUGCUGUGCACCCCCAACACUUGCCAUGCCCCCUCGGGUGGCGCACCGUGCCCCCUGGGAUGUGCUCCAGCCAUGCCCCCGGAUGUACGCCGCUCCCGGUGCUGGGGCAGGUAGCUCCGCCACUGGGUGCCACAUCCCAUAGUCUCCUUCGACUGGAUUUAACCGCCCAGGGGUCCUUUACCUUUUGUACCUUUACCUGCUGUAGAUGGAAAGUAGCAAAUAACUCCAGGUGGGUUGUUACAACAGUUCAGCUCUUCUUCUCCCCAGCCCAGUAUGUUUCGCAAUGCCUGCAGUCGGAACAUCCUCCCGCUUUUUGAAUCAUAGCAUAUGACCAAAUCGCUUGGGUCUUUUCCUGUGUCUUUAGCUAUGACUUAAAGUGAGUGGAAUCUGGUCUGUUAAGACAGUGGCUGAUGCCCAACUUAUUGGUAGAUUGGAUCACACUGGCCUCUGAUAACCAGAGAGGUCAUCUUGUAGGAAUACUUUUUUAAAAAAAAGGAGAUAAAAAACACUCUGAGUCUUGGUUAUUGCGUCUACUGAAUAUUUAACCUAUGAACAACUUCUCUGAAUGUGAUG